RNAcentral lists this ribosomal RNA (253 nucleotides) under uncultured bacterium. RNAcentral's name for it is "partial 16S ribosomal RNA". It matches the Rfam family "Bacterial small subunit ribosomal RNA", at positions 524 to 776 of the family's 1533-position model. The record is from RNAcentral.
UACGUAGGGAGCAAGCGUUGUCCGGAAUCAUUGGGCGUAAAGCGCGCGUAGGUGGCCUCAUAAGUCCGCUGUGAAAGUCAAAGGCUCAACCUUUGAAAGCCGGUGGAUACUGUGAGGCUAGAGUACGGAAGAGGCGAGUGGAAUUCCUGGUGUAGCGGUGAAAUGCGCAGAUAUCAGGAGGAACACCGAUGGCGAAGGCAGCUCGCUGGGACGGUACUGACGCUGAGGCGCGAAAGCGUGGGGAGCAAACAGG